Molecule: ribosomal RNA, 506 nt
Filed under: uncultured bacterium
Lineage: Bacteria
Description: partial 16S ribosomal RNA
Rfam family: Bacterial small subunit ribosomal RNA
Source: RNAcentral
AGUGAACGCUGGCGGUAGGCCUAACACAUGCAAGUCGAACGGCAGCACAGGAGAGCUUGCUCUCUGGGUGGCGAGUGGCGGACGGGUGAGGAAUACAUCGGAAUCUACUCUGUCGUGGGGGAUAACGUAGGGAAACUUACGCUAAUACCGCAUACGACCUACGGGUGAAAGCAGGGGAUCUUCGGACCUUGCGCGAUUGAAUGAGCCGAUGUCGGAUUAGCUAGUUGGCGGGGUAAAGGCCCACCAAGGCGACGAUCCGUAGCUGGUCUGAGAGGAUGAUCAGCCAAACUGGAAAUGAGGCACGGUCCAGACUACUACGGGAGGCAGCAGUGGGGAAUAUUGGACAAUGGGCGCAAGCCUGAUCCAGCCAUACCGCGUGGGUGAAGAAGGCCUUCGGGUUGUAAAGCCCUUUUGUUGGGAAAGAAAUCCAGCUGGUUAAUACCCGGUUGGGAUGACGGUACCCAAAGAAUAAGCACCGGCUAACUUCGUGCCAGCCGCCGCAGUAA